This 73-nucleotide transfer RNA is filed under the name Apaloderma vittatum (bar-tailed trogon). It matches the Rfam family "tRNA". From Rfam's summary of the family: Transfer RNA (tRNA) molecules are approximately 80 nucleotides in length. Their secondary structure includes four short double-helical elements and three loops (D, anti-codon, and T loops). The record is from Rfam by way of RNAcentral. Lineage: Eukaryota; Metazoa; Chordata; Aves; Trogoniformes; Trogonidae.
GGCUGGUUAGCUCAGUUGGUUGAGCAUGGUGCUGAUAACACCAAGGUCGCUGGUUCGAUUCCUGUUCUGUCCC